UUAGCGCAGGGCACCUCUGUAGUGCUGAGACUCCUGAUGUUUGUGUUGAGAAAGCCAACCUUGGAGACUUGAGAGUUAA
This is a small nucleolar RNA of Mus caroli (Ryukyu mouse), 79 nucleotides long. NCBI's taxonomy places the organism in Eukaryota, Metazoa, Chordata, Mammalia, Rodentia, Muridae. The record is from RefSeq and is a predicted model, not a curated record.